CUGGCGGCGUGCCUAAUACAUGCAAGUCGAGCGAAUGACGAGGAGCUUGCUCCUCUGAUUAGCGGCGGACGGGUGAGUAACACGUGGGCAACCUGCCCUGUAGACUGGGAUAACUUCGGGAAACCGAAGCUAAUACCGGAUAAUCCAUUUCACAUCAUGGUGAAAUGUUGAAAGGCGCAUUUCGCGUCACUACAGGAUGGGCCCGCGGUGCAUUAGCUAGUUGGCGGGGUAACGGCCUACCAAGGCAACGAUGCAUAGCCGACCUGAGAGGGUGAUCGGCCACAUUGGGACUGAGACACGGCCCAAACUCCUACGGGAGGCAGCAGUAGGGAAUCUUCCACAAUGGACGAAAGUCUGAUGGAGCAACGCCGCGUGAGUGAUGAAGGUUUUCGGAUCGUAAAACUCUGUUGUAAGGGAAGAACAAGUACGUUAGGAAAUGAACGUACCUUGACGGUACCUUAUUAGAAAGCCACGGCUAACUACGUGCCAGCAGCUGC
RNAcentral lists this ribosomal RNA (497 nucleotides) under uncultured bacterium. Its description in RNAcentral is "bacterial SSU rRNA". It matches the Rfam family "Bacterial small subunit ribosomal RNA", at positions 36 to 518 of the family's 1533-position model. The record is from RNAcentral.